RNAcentral lists this ribosomal RNA (81 nucleotides) under Gilbertiodendron preussii. Its description in RNAcentral is "partial 26S ribosomal RNA". It matches the Rfam family "Eukaryotic large subunit ribosomal RNA", at positions 1 to 76 of the family's 3401-position model. The record is from RNAcentral. Lineage: Eukaryota; Viridiplantae; Streptophyta; Magnoliopsida; Fabales; Fabaceae.
GAUGCGACCUCAGCUNCAGGCGGGGCUACCCGCUGAGUUUAAGCAUAUCAAUAAGCGGAGGAAAAGAAACUAACAAGGAUU